ACAGAACCGCAUAUUCUUCGACCCUGCUUUCGAAGAAAAUAAAAAUACGAAGAGCCUUUCGCAGCCUUUUGCACGACUACAAUUCGCGGAAUCGCAAACUUUGAACGUUACGGGAUAAAACUUCCACGUUUAAGCUUGUAAUUGAGCUUUCAUUUAACGCCGGUCGUUGCGUAAAACGCGAGUUGUUUAAAAAGGUUUUAGAAGCCUUGGGAAUUAUUCUCUGUUUUAUCGUUCGAGAUAACGAGCACGAGAGAGGCCGACUUUUUUUCUUAGUUGUCCUGUAAGUUUCUCGGGAAAACGAGAUCGGUUCGAUUUAAUACAGCCAGAUACGGAUAUCAACGUCCUUCCUUCGCUCCUUUAUCGUUACAUAAAAGGAAGUUUCAAAGAACAAAGUUCUCGGAACUUUGAAAACAUUACUAAGCGAGUUACUCAAUUGUUUGUCUCGAUACGGGUUUACCCCGGGCGAUGCCUUCGCGGAAGAGACUAAGUUCAUAGUUCGAGGCGUCUACCGUGACAAGGAAUGGAAAGAAAAGAGAAAAAGAAGAAAAUAGGGAAGAUAAGCGGAACAUCCGGAACGAGUCUUCCCGCGGGAAGAGCAGGUCCAUCAGGUUCAUAUCCGAUGACGACAUGUCACGAAGCUUGCUGAUUUUACGCGACAGGCGUGAACACUACGCGCGCACUGUGAGCCGCUACGCUCCCAUCAAAAACACUCAACACUGCACGGAUAAAGCACACCUCGACACAAUACGGUAGAUAACACGUCCAAGCACGUCAGUCGACUAACGUUAAGGAAAAAGAGAUCGUCACGGACCGACCGACGGACGUUCGGCUCCUCGCCCCACCCUGUGUUACUUGCACUACACGGAAAGCGAGACGGAGAGAGGGACGGGACCGGUUUUCAGAUUCUUGCCUGCUCGAUCGGGCAUUUCUCGGGCGUCCGCUUUUUGACCAUCGCGAGACGAGAUGCUCGCACCGAGAAAUUCGAAUGCCUCCCUCCGAACUUGUGCGACGUUUAUUGGUACCAUGGGCAAAAGCAGCUGAGUGGUUUUCACCGAGAAUACUCUCACGACCCUCUCUAUUCAACUGCCAACGUGGCACUAAGCGCGUCACAGCGACAGGAGCCGAGUCUGCGCAGUGGCGCGUCCCACUGCUGUGCUUAGGGGAGGGGAUUCACGUCUAGCGGCGCGAUUUUUAAACUAUGUCAUUCUAAUGUACGCUUACUUCAAAUGUGAACCAGUGUAGAGAAAUUUUGCUCACCGCAAACCUAUGUUUUUAAAUCAUCGUCUACGUCGUCGGCUGUUAUGACGAUAUAAAUGAAACGUUUCUUCAAGCAAAAAGUUGUUUUUUUUUAGUUCUUUAAAACAUGCUUUAUAAUAUCCUUAAUUGUUACUUAUGGAAAUUAUUAUUUAAUAACUAAAAAAAAAAAAAUCACAAAGAAAUGUCGUUUUUCCUCUUCCUGACUGCGGCUAACCCCUUAAUUUUGUUGCGGUUUUCCUUUCGGAAGAAAGGCUUGCAAUGCGGUUUCUUUUACGUGUUACUACACAUCACUGCAUAUUACUAUUUUUAAAAUUGCGAACAUGAACACCGUAUAGAAAGUCUUAUUGAAUAAUAAAAAGAAACUUCAUGUUUAAAAUUUGAAUUCAUACAACAUGAUUUGACUAGAUUUUAAGCACAACCGGUAUCCUACAGGUAAU
This is a long non-coding RNA of Hylaeus volcanicus, 1694 nucleotides long. RefSeq lists it as uncharacterized. NCBI's taxonomy places the organism in Eukaryota, Metazoa, Arthropoda, Insecta, Hymenoptera, Colletidae. The record is from RefSeq and is a predicted model, not a curated record. The transcript has 3 exons.